CUUUAGACGACUUGAAAA
RNAcentral lists this small nuclear RNA (18 nucleotides) under Arabidopsis thaliana (thale cress). RNAcentral describes it as "snRNA_16054". Lineage: Eukaryota; Viridiplantae; Streptophyta; Magnoliopsida; Brassicales; Brassicaceae. The record is from RNAcentral.